AGAGUUUGAUCCUGGCUCAGAAUCAACGCUGGCGGCGUGCCUAACACAUGCAAGUCGAACGAGAAAGCCCGCAAGGGUGAGUAAAGUGGCGACCGGGUGAGUAACACGUAGCUAACCUACCCUCGAGUGGGGGAUAACCUGGGGAAACCUGGGCUAAUACCGCAUAACAUCCCAUUGGGAGCAAAGGCCCGCAAGGGUCG
RNAcentral lists this ribosomal RNA (200 nucleotides) under uncultured bacterium. RNAcentral's name for it is "partial 16S ribosomal RNA". It matches the Rfam family "Bacterial small subunit ribosomal RNA", at positions 8 to 217 of the family's 1533-position model. The record is from RNAcentral.